Molecule: long non-coding RNA, 1184 nt
Organism: Lolium rigidum
Lineage: Eukaryota; Viridiplantae; Streptophyta; Magnoliopsida; Poales; Poaceae
Exons: 6
Source: RefSeq, a predicted model, not a curated record
GCAAUUUGUACAAGAUUUAAGUAAGAAAAGUCAGAAGAAGAGGAUCUGUAGGAGCAGGUCAACCAUGGCCAGAUGCACACGUAUUUGAUGAAAUGCAGCAAUGAAGGUGACUUUCCAUCAUAAGGUCUUAGACCAAGCACCAUGCUGCGGGUAGUCCCGGCCUCUACACAAGUGCUUCUCCGCAAGCAUGAGCGCAUCCAGUAGCGGCGAGGUCGACAUCCUGGUCGCUCCUUUCUUCGUUUUUGCUAGGACUUCCUGUUGUGCGAUUAUACCUUGUUUUUUGUGCCUAGCUGACAACCAUUAUGCCGCUGUUAUAAGUCCGUCUAGGGAUGAUCACGGCAUCACCGGUUGGAUGGGCUUGAAGAUUGGUCUUGAGGGUAAUGAGUAGAAAAAAAAUCAUUUUGUGAGUCAAUUGGAUUGGCUCAGUUUAUUUGAGAAGGCGGAAAUAACUCAAUGAAAGACAUAUAUUUUGUUAUGGGAAUAGCCAUUUACGUUUUCUUGAUAUGGGACCCCGUGCCACCUAUCGUCACCGAGCUCCUCUGCAUCCACCAUGUCCCUCCUCGUCAUGUGUGGUGGCCAGAAGGCUCGCUUUACUGGAAGCGAGACAGACAAAGAGGCCAAGUCAUAUGCGCCAUCGUCGCCCAAGUUGUGCACUGCCAUAGAGACGAACAAGGAGGGGCCAUCGCCAUCAUCCUUUCCCCUCAGUUUCCACAACAGAGCCCCUCAAACGCCACUGAGAGUCGACCUCGACGACGUCGUCAUUCUCUCCUCAGGCUUGCCCCUUGCUAUGUAUAGCAUCAGUGAUCGACUGAGACUACACAAAAAGAAAAUAAAACUCCACUUGAUGUCGAAGUCGAAACAAUGCAGGACGACAGGACGGAGGCGCAUCGGUGGAAAACUGGUCCUUGCUCCGGUUCAUCAGGGAGGACAACGGUCAGGGGAACAUCUGCAAGGCCUCAUCUACGGUUUCUUCUUCGCUGAAGAUGUUGGCGUGCCUUCGUCGGGCUAUCUCUCUCUGUGGAAUCCUGCUACGCGGCGAGGGCGGAGAUCAGGUUGCUGCCGCAGUUCACAAAUGCCAUGGUCUGAAUUGACCGGUCAUAUUGGGCUCACAGGUUAAUGUCUGUUUUUGUCCUUGACUGAUUGCUUUUUCAAGGUGGUUUCAUAUAUUUGUUGGGAGUAACCAU